RNAcentral lists this ribosomal RNA (496 nucleotides) under uncultured bacterium. RNAcentral describes it as "partial 16S ribosomal RNA". It matches the Rfam family "Bacterial small subunit ribosomal RNA", at positions 28 to 507 of the family's 1533-position model. The record is from RNAcentral.
GAUGAACGCUGGCGGCGUGCCUAAUACAUGCAAGUCGAGCGAACAGACGAGGAGCUUGCUCCUCUGACGUUAGCGGCGGACGGGUGAGUAACACGUGGAUAACCUACCUAUAAGACUGGGAUAACUUCGGGAAACCGGAGCUAAUACCGGAUAAUAUAUUGAACCGCAUGGUUCAAUAGUGAAAGAUGGUUUUGCUGUCACUUAUAGAUGGAUCCGCGCCGCAUUAGCUAGUUGGUAGGUAACGGCUUACCAAGGCGACGAUGCGUAGCCGACCUGAGAGGGUGAUCGGCCACACUGGAACUGAGACACGGUCCAGACUCCUACGGGAGGCAGCAGUAGGGAAUCUUCCGCAAUGGGCGAAAGCCUGACGGAGCAACGCCGCGUGAGUGAUGAAGGUCUUCGGAUCGUAAAACUCUGUUAUUAGGGAAGAACAAAUGUGUAAGUAACUAUGCACGUCUUGACGGUACCUAAUCAGAAAGCCACGGCUAACUACGUG